GUGUACUGUAUAAAAAAUACAUUGAUAUCUACAAUGUGUACUAAUGUUUUUUUUACUCAGACUUUACAGGGACACGUCAAACAGCUAACCAGAAUUCCUCCCUGUUUAUGAGUGCAGAGCAACAUACAGUUCAGCCCACAAACUCCACCAUAAACGGGGCAGGUGGAGAGAGCCUCCAAGAUAAACACAAGAGUUUGACUAUUGUGACAAUUUUCACCGCCACUCUCGUCUUGUUGGUUGUUCUCGCUGCCUUUGUUGGAUACAGAAUAAUGAUAAAGCGCAGUAAGUCUGUUGUAAACUAUGCUUAAACCAUUUCAGGAUUAUAAUAAUCUAUUUCUUAAAAUAUUUUCUUUAAAAAAAUCAUGUGUUGUAGAUAACACCAAGACUGAGGGCCCUGACAUUACUGCGGUAAGAUAAAGCCCAUUUUUGUUUUUUAGUAUGGUAAUAAAUAAUUGGUCAUCUUCCUCACUGUGUCACAAUCUGGUUGUACUUGCUUCCUGUUUUAUUUUGAAAUGUUCACUCCCCCUUGUGUCGUGUCUUGUUUUACUUCCUGUCCUUGUGUUUUUUUCCAUCCCUCUGUGAUUGUUGAUUUGAUCCUCCUGUGUCCAUUCACCCUGCCCUUGUGUCUUUGCCUUUCUCCUCCUGCUGUAUCUCGUUUCUUUGAUUAGUGUCUGUAUGUAUAUAUCCCCGUCUGUCC
This 697-nucleotide long non-coding RNA is filed under the name Cottoperca gobio. RNAcentral's name for it is "lncRNA (ENSCGOG00000008715.1)". Lineage: Eukaryota; Metazoa; Chordata; Actinopteri; Perciformes; Bovichtidae. The record is from RNAcentral.